AGGUAAUGAGCUGCAGCUGCGCCAGGUCAGAUGUGCCUGCAGGGAUUUCGAAAGGAUAUUCCUCGGUUGAUGCAGAUCGCGAGAUGGUUCAGCGACGGUGCAGAGUGUCGCUGAUUAUUAUACCUAUAGAAGAAUCCCGACGGUUGUUAGAGACGAGGAAGGAACGGGAGAUAUUUUACACGUAUCUCGGCGCAGGAGAAUCCCCGUCGAGGUUUUAAAAUAAAACGAGCGCAACUCGUCCCUUAGGUUUGAUAAUUUUUAAAUUUGCAACAUCGUGUAUGCCAACGACUCCUCGUAGUUGGACAACAAUGAACGGUCAACGUAUGAACCGUACGUCUGAAAAGAAAGGCUACUAGACGAGAAGAUAAAUUGCGACACUUUACCGUAUAAAAACAUUCGCAUUAUUUUACAUUCAUCCACGUACGUAUAUACACGCAUGUAAUACGUAUACGUCGUCAGCUGACACGGAAGACGCCCACGCGCACACAUACCCGAUUCUGUUAACGAGAUAAAAUUACCGUCUGACAAGGUAGCUUGUUAAAAAUUUACACACAUCUACACAUCUUUCAUGUCCUAACGGUAUAUAUAUAUAAAUAAAAUAUAUUAAACCUUAUGUACGCGCACAGAAGCCCCGAUGAUAAAUCAAUCGCGGAGAAGUAAAUGACAAUAAAAAAGGGGGGCGUGGUCGCGAACGUUUUAAAAAAUUUAACGCUAUUCACAACAGUUUUUGGGUGACUUCCAAUUUCAGAUUAUCCAAACGACUCGAAGGUUGAAGGAAAAGUGUUACGUACGGCCACGUAGAGCCGUUUAAAAUUAUUUUAUUUUUUUUUUUUCUCCACUCGUUCCCUCUCGCUGCGAAAUGAAGUUUCUUAAUAGUCGCGUACCUUCCAGUAUAACAUUGCAGACUCACGUAUAUAUGUACCCCAUUUAUAUGCACAUGCACACAGCGUAAAUCAUUUAUAUAUAUAUAUUUCAUAUACGUAGGUAUUCACGGCCGCAUAUAAAUGUACGGUGUAUGGUAAAACAUGUAGCUUACACACACGCGGUAUCCGCCUUCUCGGG
RNAcentral lists this unclassified non-coding RNA (1062 nucleotides) under Athalia rosae (coleseed sawfly). Its description in RNAcentral is "misc RNA ENSAEAG00005003729.1". Lineage: Eukaryota; Metazoa; Arthropoda; Insecta; Hymenoptera; Athaliidae. The record is from RNAcentral.